RNAcentral lists this ribosomal RNA (253 nucleotides) under uncultured bacterium. RNAcentral describes it as "partial 16S ribosomal RNA". It matches the Rfam family "Bacterial small subunit ribosomal RNA", at positions 524 to 776 of the family's 1533-position model. The record is from RNAcentral.
UACGAAGGGGGCUAGCGUCGUUCGGAAUUACUGGGCGUAAAGCGCGCGCAGGCGGUCCUUCAAGUCAGAGGUGAAAGCCCAGAGCUCAACUCUGGAAUGGCCUUUGAAACUGGAGGACUUGAGUACGGGAGAGGUGAGUGGAAUUCCGAGUGUAGAGGUGAAAUUCGUAGAUAUUCGGAAGAACACCAGUGGCGAAGGCGGCUCACUGGCCCGUUACUGACGCUCAGGCGCGACAGCGUGGGGAGCAAACAGG